GAGAACACGUGGUUGGAGCGCGGAGACGUGCACGAAUUAAAUCCGAGAGUAGUAAUGAAAGGAAAAUUCGACUAAAUGUUGGGUGUCACAGUGAGAGCUGUUUGAGCCUUAAAUCAUCACAGACAAACAGAGGGUUAAGAGCAUGUGCGCGGCCCUCCUCGGUUGAACUUGAAGAUGACCGCCCCUUCAAAAGAUG
Molecule: long non-coding RNA, 196 nt
Organism: Oreochromis aureus
Lineage: Eukaryota; Metazoa; Chordata; Actinopteri; Cichliformes; Cichlidae
Exons: 3
Source: RefSeq, a predicted model, not a curated record